Molecule: ribosomal RNA, 1535 nt
Filed under: Anaerotignum faecicola
Lineage: Bacteria; Bacillati; Bacillota; Clostridia; Lachnospirales; Anaerotignaceae
Description: 16S ribosomal RNA
Rfam family: Bacterial small subunit ribosomal RNA
Source: RNAcentral
UAACAUAAGAGUUUGAUCCUGGCUCAGGAUGAACGCUGGCGGCGUGCUUAACACAUGCAAGUCGAACGAAGAUACUUAAAAUGAGAGCUUCGGCAGGAUUUUUAUUUAUCUUAGUGGCGGACGGGUGAGUAACGUGUGGGCAACCUGCCCUAUACUGGGGAAUAAUCACUGGAAACGGUGACUAAUACCGCAUGUCAUUACGGAAGGGCAUCCUUCUGUAAGAAAAGGAGUAAUUCGGUAUAGGAUGGGCCCGCAUCUGAUUAGCUAGUUGGUGAGAUAACAGCCCACCAAGGCGACGAUCAGUAGCCGACCUGAGAGGGUGAUCGGCCACAUUGGGACUGAGACACGGCCCAAACUCCUACGGGAGGCAGCAGUGGGGAAUAUUGCACAAUGGGGGAAACCCUGAUGCAGCAACGCCGCGUGAAGGAUGAAGGUUUUCGGAUCGUAAACUUCUAUCAAUAGGGACGAAGAAAGUGACGGUACCUAAAUAAGAAGCCCCGGCUAACUACGUGCCAGCAGCCGCGGUAAUACGUAGGGGGCAAGCGUUAUCCGGAAUUACUGGGUGUAAAGGGAGCGUAGGCGGCACGCCAAGCCAGAUGUGAAAGCCCGAGGCUUAACCUCGUGGAUUGCAUUUGGAACUGGCGAGCUAGAGUACAGGAGAGGAAAGCGGAAUUCCUAGUGUAGCGGUGAAAUGCGUAGAUAUUAGGAAGAACACCAGUGGCGAAGGCGGCUUUCUGGACUGAAACUGACGCUGAGGCUCGAAAGCGUGGGGAGCAAACAGGAUUAGAUACCCUGGUAGUCCACGCCGUAAACGAUGAGUGCUAGGUGUCGGGGAGGAAUCCUCGGUGCCGCAGCUAACGCAAUAAGCACUCCACCUGGGGAGUACGACCGCAAGGUUGAAACUCAAAGGAAUUGACGGGGGCCCGCACAAGCGGUGGAGCAUGUGGUUUAAUUCGAAGCAACGCGAAGAACCUUACCAAGGCUUGACAUCCCGAUGACCGCUCUAGAGAUAGAGCUUCUCUUCGGAGCAUCGGUGACAGGUGGUGCAUGGUUGUCGUCAGCUCGUGUCGUGAGAUGUUGGGUUAAGUCCCGCAACGAGCGCAACCCUUAUCCUUAGUAGCCAUCAUUGAGUUGGGCACUCUAGGGAGACUGCCGUGGAUAACACGGAGGAAGGUGGGGAUGACGUCAAAUCAUCAUGCCCCUUAUGUCUUGGGCUACACACGUGCUACAAUGGCUGGUAACAGAGUGAAGCGAGACGGCGACGUUAAGCAAAUCACAAAAACCCAGUCCCAGUUCGGAUUGUAGUCUGCAACUCGACUACAUGAAGCUGGAAUCGCUAGUAAUCGCGAAUCAGAAUGUCGCGGUGAAUACGUUCCCGGGCCUUGUACACACCGCCCGUCACACCAUGGGAGUUGGAAGCACCCGAAGUCGGUGACCUAACCGUAAGGAAGGAGCCGCCGAAGGUGAAGCCAGUGACUGGGGUGAAGUCGUAACAAGGUAGCCGUAUCGGAAGGUGCGGCUGGAUCACCUCCUUU